UAUGUGAUCGUCUCUCGCAUAUCAAUAAGCGGAGGAAAAGAAACUAACAAGGAUUCCCCUAGUAACGGCGAGUGAAGCGGGAAGAGCUCAAAUUUGAAAUCUUAAAGGGUUUCCCUUUACGAAUUGUAGUUUAAAGAAGUGUUUUCUGUUGAGGUUUUGGUAAAAGUUCUUUGGAAUAGGACAUCAUAGAGGGUGAGAAUCCCGUAUUUGACCUUUACUUUCAACUUUGUGAUACACUUUCAAAGAGUCGGAUUGUUUGGGAAUGCAGUCCAAAAUGGGUGGUAAAUUUCAUCUAAAGCUAAAUAUUGGCGAGAGACCGAUAGCGAACAAGUACCGUGAGGGAAAGAUGAAAAGAACUUUGAAAAGAGAGUUAAACAGUACGUGAAAUUGUCAAAAGGGAAGCGUUUGACACCAGUGUUGUUUUUCUGAAAAUCAAUUAAAGAACUGUUUAUGCUAAGCUGUUUAGACUUUAUCAGCUAACUGUUUAGUUUUGAGCUUUUCUUUAAUGCACUUUUCAGUUAACGAAGUCAACAUCAAUUUCUUUUGCUGUAAAAAAGCUUGAGGAAGGUGGCUUGAGAUUCGUCUUAAGUGUUUAUAGCCUCUUGCCUAUGCAGUCGGAGAGAUUGAGGUCUGCAGCGUAGAUCCCCGGGGCUAAAUGCAUUUGUGCUAAGUUAUAGCAUUUUAUAGACAACUUGUUGACUAUGAUUUGUCUUGUAGCUUACUCGCUUAUGUUAUUUUACCUACGCUUAGGAUGUUGAUCUACAGAGCGAGAGU
Molecule: ribosomal RNA, 774 nt
Filed under: uncultured Neocallimastigales
Lineage: Eukaryota; Fungi; Neocallimastigomycota; Neocallimastigomycetes; Neocallimastigales
Description: partial large subunit ribosomal RNA
Rfam family: Eukaryotic large subunit ribosomal RNA
Source: RNAcentral